AUACGUAGGUGGCGAGCGUUGUCCGGAAUUACUGGGCGUAAAGGGUGCGUAGGCGGAAUCUUAAGUCAGAUGUGAAAACCCAGGGCUUAACUUUGGGAUUGCAUUUGAAACUGAGGUUCUAGAGUGCAGGAGAGGGAAGCGGAAUUCCUAGUGUAGCGGUGAAAUGCGUAGAUAUUAGGAAGAACACCAGUGGCGAAGGCGGCUUUCUGGACUGUAACUGACGCUGAGGCACGAAAGCGUGGGGAGCAAACAGGAUUAGAUACCCUGGUAGUCCACGCCGUAAACGAUGAGUGCUAGGUGUAGGGGGCGUAGGCCUUCUGUGCCGCAGCAAACGCAAUAAGCACUCCGCCUGGGGAGUACGGUCGCAAGACUAAA
RNAcentral lists this ribosomal RNA (375 nucleotides) under uncultured bacterium. RNAcentral's name for it is "bacterial SSU rRNA". It matches the Rfam family "Bacterial small subunit ribosomal RNA", at positions 523 to 898 of the family's 1533-position model. The record is from RNAcentral.